This is a small nuclear RNA of Vanessa tameamea, 164 nucleotides long. RefSeq annotates it as U1 spliceosomal RNA. Lineage: Eukaryota; Metazoa; Arthropoda; Insecta; Lepidoptera; Nymphalidae. The transcript has a single exon. The record is from RefSeq and is a predicted model, not a curated record.
AUACUAACCUUGCGUAGGGUGUACCGUGAUCAAGAAGGCGGAUGCCCCGGGCUGGCGCCAGCCAUUGCACUGCGGCUGGAAUAAGCUGGUCUGUGACUAUUCCACACUGGAAUACGUCGUACGUGUAAUUUUUGGUAGUUGGACUUGCGUUCUGCGCAGUCCAC